RNAcentral lists this small nucleolar RNA (71 nucleotides) under Propithecus coquereli (Coquerel's sifaka). RNAcentral's name for it is "Small nucleolar RNA SNORD56 (ENSPCOG00000007890.1)". It matches the Rfam family "Small nucleolar RNA SNORD56". Rfam says of the family: U56 belongs to the C/D class of snoRNA which contain the C (UGAUGA) and D (CUGA) box motifs. Lineage: Eukaryota; Metazoa; Chordata; Mammalia; Primates; Indriidae. The record is from Rfam by way of RNAcentral.
CUACAAUGAUGGUAGUAUUUUUGGUCAACAGCAGUCCACCUAGUGAGUGUUGAUACUUUGGGUCUGAGUGA